GGAUAUGAGGGUGAUGGAGUUGGCUAGGCUAGUGACCCCCUCAUUCCUCAAAACUCCCUGUGUGUCUCUAUGGAAGCUGCAUGCUUGGUCAAAGAGGACAACCUUCCCUAAAUAGAGAAUGGUCUUCAGUCAAGGGAUUACAUGUAGCUAUGCUCCCCUGCUAGAACCUGUAACAGACUCUCCAAGAGGUAAACUUGCAUGCAUUUGGCACAGACAAAACCUGCAAGGCUAACUGUGAUUUCUAUCUGCUGUUGUUU
Molecule: small nuclear RNA, 257 nt
Filed under: Cricetulus griseus (Chinese hamster)
Lineage: Eukaryota; Metazoa; Chordata; Mammalia; Rodentia; Cricetidae
Description: 7SK RNA
Rfam family: 7SK RNA
About the family: 7SK was discovered as an abundant small nuclear RNA in the mid-70s but a possible function has only recently been suggested. Two independent studies have found that 7SK RNA binds the CDK9/cyclin T complex (known as elongation factor P-TEFb).
Source: Rfam by way of RNAcentral